UGGCCGCAGACGAAGCACUCCCCAGCUCUGCCUGACCGGCUGUGAUCAUUCUGUUGUCCAUCGUUCCCCAUGAUCCUCCCUUCAAAGGCACAGGAUUCCUCAACGACUAAAGAAUGCAACUCGAUACGGGGUGCCAUGGUUUGUAAUGGUCAUACUAUUCAUAAUAAAGUCAAUCAAAGAUCACCUGGUCUUAAAUGGUUGUUUCAAUCUUACAUGUCAAUAUCGAAUUGUAUAUGUUUAUCAGAUAACAGUCUGAGCACCAGAUCAACAUGGUUUCAGGAAAAUUUCAAUCUUGGCAAUGACUACCCGUUCACCAACUCGGACUGACAACAUACAACGCACCAACCGAAUCUUAUGUCCCAAUCUGGCUGCUUUGGCGUAAAUGUCUGGAGU
RNAcentral lists this long non-coding RNA (393 nucleotides) under Coccomyxa subellipsoidea. RNAcentral describes it as "long non-coding RNA (CSUB_LNC000042)". Lineage: Eukaryota; Viridiplantae; Chlorophyta; Trebouxiophyceae; Coccomyxaceae. The record is from RNAcentral.